This 466-nucleotide ribosomal RNA is filed under the name uncultured bacterium. RNAcentral's name for it is "bacterial SSU rRNA". It matches the Rfam family "Bacterial small subunit ribosomal RNA", at positions 926 to 1391 of the family's 1533-position model. The record is from RNAcentral.
CAAGCGGAGGAGCAUGUGUUUUAAUUUGAUGCACCGCAAAGAACCUUACCUGGGCUUGAACGUGGUCUGACCGCCCUUAAAAAUAGGGGCUUUCCCGCAAGGGACAGGCUGCGAGGUGCUGCAUGGCUGUCGUCAGCUCGUGUCGUGAGAUGUUGGGUUAAGUCCCGCAACGAGCGCAACCCUUGUCCUGUGUUGCUAAGCCGAAAGGCUGCUCUCUCAGGAGACCGCCAGCGAUAAGCUGGAGGAAGGGGGGGAUGACGUAAAGUCAUCAUGGCCUUUAUGUCUGGGGCCACACACGUGCUACAAUGGCCAAUACAAACCGUUGCAAACUCGCGAGGGUGAGCUAAUCGGAAAAAGCUGGCCUCAUUUCGGAUUGUAGGCUGCAACUCCCCUGCAUGAAGUUGGAAUCGCUAGUAAUCGCGGAUCAUCACGCCGCGGUGAAUUUUUCCGGGGUCUUGUACACCCC